Molecule: long non-coding RNA, 1270 nt
Organism: Acyrthosiphon pisum (pea aphid)
Lineage: Eukaryota; Metazoa; Arthropoda; Insecta; Hemiptera; Aphididae
Exons: 6
Source: RefSeq, a predicted model, not a curated record
AUUAUUGUCGUUCGUUGCUGAAAAAUAGAAAGAAGUUGUAUUCAGAAAAGUCCGUACCUAACUAUAUUCUUUAAAAAAUGACAUCAAUUUUAUUCAAGUUAAACGUUAUACUUAUUGUGCUAUACGUCAGCAUGACGUUUAUCCAUUUGUCGUCACAAGGCUAUAAUGGGGAUAAAUCACCGGCAGUAACUGAAGAAGGUGGUACAAACACUCAAACUGCUGAAAAUAAAGAAGGUGGUACAAAUACUCAAACUGCUGAAAAUAAAAAAGGUGAUACAAAUACUCAAACUGCAGAAAAAAGUUUCAACAAUAAUUUUCUUACAACUGAAAAAGAAGUGACACAUAUAAUAAUACCUCAAGUCUUUUCUUUUCCUUAAAUUCAAUUUAUAAUUUAUAUAAUAUAUCAAAUAAAAGAUAAACGGAAUUAAAAUUUCAACUUCGAUUCAAAUCAAUUAUUUUUAGCAGAUUUUUAAUAAAUUAUUUUAAAUGUAUUAAGAGUAAAUGUUUAUUGUAAUUGUUAGUCUUAAGUCAUAAAUUAUAAAAUAAUAUUUUAUUUGAAUAAACUAUAUAUGAAUCGUGUACCGUGUACCGUGUAUGGAGGUCUUCACCCUCGACGCAGAGUACAGUAAAAUAAUCUUAAGAUAACGAUAUUCAAAUAUUUAUAUAUAUAUAAUUCUUCAGUGUAUACAUUUACUGAUGUUAGCAAAGGUGGGCAUUAACUAGUUAAAAAGUUAAAGUUAAGUUAAAAAGUUAAUUUUUUUUAACUUUUCAACUUAAUUAGUUAGUUUAUUUUCUAAUCAACUUAUGAACUUAACUAGUUUAAUUUACAGUUGAAAUAACUUAGCUUUUCUCAGUUGCUUUUAAAAAAAAUCCAUCAAGUUAAAAACAUUUUGAAUUUUUCGUUUAUACGUAAAUAUUACUACGUCAGUAUAAAAUAAAAAUAAUCCAAUACAAACAUUUUUGUUCUUUUUCUUGAUAACAUAAUUUUGUGUACCUAUAUUCAUAUAUUUUAUUAAGUUGUAAAUUAUAUAUUUAUAUAUUAUGCGAAUUGCAAUUAUAAAUGUUAUUAAAAAAUUAAUCAUUUUAAAUUAUAAAUUGACAAUUGUUAUGUUUUAAUGUUAUAUAACUUAUAUUAUUCAAUUGCUAUAUGAUGUAAAAAAAUAUAUUUGUUAAAUUAUUAAUUUUUAAAUUAGUAAAUAAUAGUUAAGUAAAAGUAAAAGCGUAUACAGUGUACAUUAUGAUAAAAGUUCAAUAAAAUUGUUUUUUAUAA